UAUCUAUCAGUGACAGUGAUUACUAUAGUUA
This is a regulatory RNA element of Alligator mississippiensis (American alligator), 31 nucleotides long. It matches the Rfam family "Iron response element II". Rfam says of the family: IRE, TFRC, SLC40A1, SDHB, SLC11A2, CDC42BPA, ACO2, ALAS2_H.SAPIENS, CDC14A, EPAS1, ALAS2, qoxD, Hao1, NDUFS1, transferrin, Aconitate. The record is from Rfam. NCBI's taxonomy places the organism in Eukaryota, Metazoa, Chordata, Crocodylia, Alligatoridae.